Molecule: ribosomal RNA, 272 nt
Filed under: uncultured prokaryote
Description: partial 16S ribosomal RNA
Rfam family: Bacterial small subunit ribosomal RNA
Source: RNAcentral
UACGAAGGGGGCUAGCGUUGUUCGGAUUUACUGGGCGUAAAGCGCACGUAGGCGGUUUGUUAAGUCAGAGGUGAAAUCCCGGAGCUCAACUCCGGAACUGCCUUUGAUACUGGCAAGCUAGAGUCCGGAAGAGGUAAGUGGAACUCCUAGUGUAGAGGUGGAAUUCGUAGAUAUUAGGAAGAACACCAGUGGCGAAGGCGGCUUACUGGUCCGGAACUGACGCUGAGGUGCGAAAGCGUGGGGAGCAAACAGGAUUAGAAACCCGGUAGUCC